GUUCCCUUUCUGAGGAAAAGAGAGUGGAUGGAGAUUAGGUGGGCAGCCAGCAGCCUUCCACAGUUGGGGUGGCCUUGUCCCACUUGCCCGCAUCAUAUAUAGGAAGUGGUUCCUUAAUCUCCAGAAGUUCCUGCGCUUGUCAAGCGACCCUCUCAAUGUCUGGAUAGUGUUUUCUCUCAAAAACUGAUGUAUGUUUGUAGGACUCAAAGGUGGCUGCAGAACUCCUCAGGGGACUUUCUUUUUUCUUUUUUUUUUAAUGAAAUCCAGAGCUACUGCUUUACUCUAGAAGCUCAGGGGCAGUCGUGAUGCCUAACAUGGACCCUUGUGCAAGCAUGACUACAAAACAGUGCCAGCCUCCCGUAUCGUGCCCGAGAUCCCCCGGUUCGGAGCAGAAGUCUUCAGGAGGCUGGGACCAGGAUGGAGGAGGACAGUUUUCUCACCUCCCGCCACCACACAUCUCCCCUGUCUGGUGAGUCACCCCUUCGCCUUGACGCAUGGUCUCUGAGUCACCACAUUUCUGCGCCCGCCUGUUGCAAGCGUUCCAGCCGAGGUGAGCCUCCCAUCAACAGAGAAGGUGUUCUUCUCCAGUUUUUCCUCACGUUUCUGUCUUCUCCUUGGCCUCAGUAGCACGAACAGUUGUCAGUCCGUGCCCCCCCCCCCCCCGCUUGAAGUACUUCAGUGUCCUUGUGGAGGAGGCUUCCCAGGAGGAAGGGCGCAGGCAUGUCUCAGCUCAGGGCGAGAACUUGGGGGGCUGGGGCACGGGCGUGGAGAGGGUGCCGGAGGCGAGGUGGGUGCCUGCGGCCGUUGCGCUCCUUUGCUGAGCUUACUCUUGUACGUCUCCCUGUCUUCUGGUUCCUCUUCUCCGAGUAGAGACCUUCUGAAUGGCACGGUGUGGAGGACGCUGGCCUCGCCUGACAGCUUCUCACCUGAGAAUCCCUCCUUUCUCUUGAGGAGAUAACGACGGGUGACUUUCUCAGACUCUGUAGACUUUGUAAUGGGCCGUGGCUGAUAAAACUCAUGAGCGCAUGCACCUCAACAACAAGGCCGGUGUGUCAUGUCCACGCUGGGCGACAUCUUGUCGUAACAGUAACUCUGCAGGAAUAUAGGCCACGCUUGUCCUCCCAGCGAUUAGACAGAUGCAUGUUUUCUGACACAAACCUUUCUCCAACAUGUCCUUGUACGUUUCCCCCCGGCCACCCACGCAACCCCCCAUUCUGAAUAGCAGGUCCCCUCCUGCUAAUGACAAACCCUUUGGGGCAGAGCCAGAAGUAGUUUCCAGAGACUGGAGACAUCACUGCCGGGGUGGUGCCGUCAGACCACCGCGCUCUUCGAUGGCCCCGAGCGAGCCUAGUUGUGUUGAAGCAGUUCCUCUUGCCAGCGCGUAAAGGGGAAGAAGAGGCUGGAGAGGACGUUCAACUUCUUCAUGACGCAAGUCGAUUUGGAAAUAUUAGGGGAGGAGGGAAGAGCGCUGUAACUUGCUUUUUUCAGCGUUAAAAGAUGCCAUCUCCCUGCUUACCUGCACAGAGUAUUUAAGCCAAAUUGUGGUUCAGUGGUUGACUGGGGCAGGUUGAAAAAAAUAUUCAGGGAAAUUGUAUAUUUUUAUACCAGUUACCCAUUGAUGAAGUAUUUCUUAAAUGCUUACCAUUCCAUUAGGCACUGUGAUAAAUUAGUUUAUCAGAUGUCUCAAAAUCAUGUCGAAAAUACGGUACGAAUACGGUUCUAAAAUACGUAAUCACUAAAGCUAGUAAACAGAUGAACAAGGUGCAGCUGGCCCAAAAAACACAUUGAGAGCUUAGAGGAAAGAUUUUUUUCCUUACUUCUAGACCAUAUUACAGCAAAAAAUUCCAAAGCAUGAAGCCCCUACGGAAGCCGCUGACACCCAUCCAUAUGGAGCCUCAGAUGUUGAGUACCGGGCUUCUCUUACUCAGCCAGUGGUGGGCGACCCCUUUGGCUCUGAGUCCUCUUCGGUUUCCAGUUCUCCCUCCAGCCAACCGGGGAGGGGCCGCUGAGCAUCCUCAGUCCCAUGGCAGGGCUGUGACACUGGAUUUCAGGUUAAUCUUGGGAAUCUGGAACAGGUCAUUUUAGUAAAACAUUUUAAAAUCCUUAGUCCAAGAUUGGUGCUUGUUUAGAACAUCUGUUCUGUGUUUUAGGGACUGGGAUAUAAAGGACUUUAUCCACAGAAUGCUUCUCCCAACCAUCCCUGGGUCGUUCCGCGAACAGGACUGAAAGGCCUUUGAAUCCCUUCCUCUCUGUGCAGGAGUUCGUGGGAACAGGCAUCCCUGCACCUUCUUUCCACACACGUCCUCUGCUUCCCAGCACCCAAGUUAUGGUUCUGUUCAAUGAGACGAAUGUAGAAAUAUCUGCGGUUGGGCGCCUGGGCGCCUCAGUCAGUUAAGCGUCUGCCUUCGGCUCAGGUCAUGAUCUUAGGAUCCUGGGAUCGAGCCCCGCAUCGGGCUCCCUGCUUAGGGGGUGGCCUGCUUCUCCCUCUGCCCCUCCCCCUGCUCAUGCUCACUCUCUUUCUCUCAAAUAAAUAAAUUAAACUCUUUAAAAAAAGGAAUAUCUGGGGUCUUUGAGGGGAAGAUUUUGCUUUACUGGUAAAAGAGAAGAAUGCGAUUGUGCUGCUUCUCUCCCCGUUCGACCUUGACUGCCGCGCACCUGAUGUCUGCAGGUGCAGCGUGGUCGGGAUGUGGACAGAAGCCCCCUUGCUGCGUGGCUGGAACAGGACACCGUAGAGUCCCCGCACCUGCCCUGUGAUGCUUAUUACCUCUGGACUUCUCGUGCCAGAAAAAGAAGCCCUCUCUUGUUGAAGUCACAGCCGACCUGAGUUUCUGUUAGAGUGGGCAGAAGCCUCCCGCACUGAUAGAGAAUUUGGUAUCUGAACAUGAGUGGCUCCCAGGAUUAUUUUUUAAAUCUAAUACAGAGCUUAGGAGGUAUUGCUUCUUUGUCACUGUAACAUGUAUACUGAGCAUUUUUUACGUGGCAGGCACUGUGCGAGACCAGUGACACAAGGAGAGGAGUCCAAGCCACACAGCAAUAGGAGCACGUAUUCAGCAGAGGUCGCUUUGUGAUCCACUGACUCAUUCAACAGUAACUUGCUGCUCCGCAGGGAAUCAGGCCCUCGGAGCUGAAGCUACAGACACAGACGUCCCAGCUCAGCGCUUCCAGGAGCACAGUCUUCCAAACAGCCAUCCUGCCUCCAGUGAACGUUGAGGAACUAGGACCAUGUAGCAGGCAGGCUCAGGAGCGCAUGUCUUGAAGGAAGACAUCAGUCAACAGGGUUACAGAGUUGCUCCGCUUUGUGGUAGUAUCAUAUGUACAAAAAGUUGGGUUCAGGGGGCAACAAAACAAAGGAUGGGGGGCAGCGCCUGAGGUGGCCCAGUGGGUCCGCCAGCAUGAAUGGCUGGGCUCUCCCUGUGCGAGGACAAAGUGCCGCUGUGUGGCUCCUGCUGCCAGCCUGUCUCCAUCUGCCUUGUCUCGCGUGUGGCCAAGAAACGACCCUGGUGAGAAGGCCUGCGUCCUUCUCCAGCCCCAUUUGCUUUAGGAAGUGUGCUAUGUGAUCCAUGCCCAUGUAUCCAGCACGCUCGCAGGGGCCCUUCUUAGCUCUUCCUGCUCCCCAACCAGUCCUUCUGCCCCCAAUUCAGCGAGCUUUCACAUCAGGACUAGGAGGUGUCUCCUCACUUUACAGGUGAGAAGGGAAGCCUGGAGUUGGCUGGUGACCGGAGUUGGCCCCAGAACCCACUUCUCCUGGUUCCUGGCCCUUCUGCCCAAACUGUUGGUAGUUCUGCUUUGGAGAAGCCCAGGGGGAUGAGCUGCUCUCCUGAACUGGGGUUGAUCCACCUGCUUCCCGAAUAACAGCUCCUUCCUUUGGAACCACUCCUGCCAGCUCAGAGCGCGUGGUUCCAGCAGGAGCCGUGUCCUUCAGGGCCCCCGUGGUGGCGGCGGCAAGGGGAGAGUGGGGUGGGGGCCCCAAGCACCACUGCCACCUGCCCUCGGUUGUGCUCCUGCCCUGUGGAGGAGGCCGGGUGGCCGUGAGCUAAUGAGAGGACUGGUGGAAAGAAGAGGCAAGAGACAGGCAGGGUCCUGGCUUGUAGCAGGGGCCCUGUGCCCGUUGCUCCCCCCGCAGGCCGUCACUUCUCCCUAUGGUUUGGGUGUUCUGCCUUUCGUUCUGAGUCACGUCAGCGUUCUUCCAGAUAACUGCCCUUUGGCCCAAGCUUCUUUGAGUUUGGUAUCUGUCCUUUCACACCAAGAGUGCCGAUGACCUCCACGGCUACCAGUGAAAUGCGCUUACCCCAUGGGACUGUGAUUUCAACUCUUGCCUUUUUUUUAACUGUCCACAUGCCGUCCUCCCCUCUAGUCAUUAACUGCCCUCCCAUCUGAGCAGCGACUGGGCAAGGCCCCAGACACAACCACAGCGUGUCCCCAGAACAUGAGACCGUCUAGAAUCAUUCCCCGGCUAAUUCUUGAAGCCAUCUUUAAGCAGCAAGGGCCUUGUAAGAGCUUAAAAGCUCUUCUCAGAUCCCAUCUAGACACUACGCAGCAGAUCUAUAAUUUAGCUUUCUUUUUAGUUUUAAACAUUUUAUUGCAAAAAUAACCCACAAUUCAGAAGGUCUGGAAAACCCUUAUUAUGUUGUACGUUUUUUGCUGUCCUAAUUGGGGUCUUUUUGGUCGAUAAGUAACCUCAGUGCCUUGGGACAGGAUAAUGACAUAAUUGUUUUCUUUGUAGACUCCCUUUAACUGUGGAAAAGUUUCUAUUUAAGCAGAAGAAUAUGAAGCAAAUUAAACUCAUACUGUUGAUAUUUGGGGUUAAGUUCAGGUGACCAGUAUCUAUUUGGCAUUUUAAGAACUUGUAAUUUUAAGAGAAUGUGGCAAAUAUGAGUAUCCAGGGACUGGCCUUGUAAUCCCACUUUAGUAUACAUAUUUGAGUAAUCGAUGUGGACUCGUGAUUUGACCUUAAAGUUGCAGUGCAAUUUUAUGAAGAUUGUAAGCAGUACGGGAACAUGUAAAAGAACUUAAGAUUCAGCAUAUUUAGUUGGUUAUUUGAGAGGGCUUGUGAGCAAACCAAAGUGUUCUGAAGUAUAAAGUAGUUCACAAAUGCAUUUUAAAUUGAGAAGGCAGUUGUUUAAAUUUCUCCGUGCAACCUGUCAUCAAGGUUACCCUUAACAGUGGCUGUUAAAUUUCACUGUAUUUUAUAUGAUAAGUUUAUAAGUAGAAUAACACAGUUUUAAGUUAAGCCUAAAAGCUUAAGGAAAACCCAAAAUUUUAAAUUUGGAUAAAAUGAAUGUUAAAAAUAGAAAUAACUCCAAGCAGUCUUUCAUAUAUAUAAAAGCCACCCUCAAGUACAGUAAAAAUCUGUGCUCCUCUAA
This is a long non-coding RNA of Ailuropoda melanoleuca (giant panda), 5363 nucleotides long. RefSeq lists it as uncharacterized. NCBI's taxonomy places the organism in Eukaryota, Metazoa, Chordata, Mammalia, Carnivora, Ursidae. The record is from RefSeq and is a predicted model, not a curated record. The transcript is spliced from 2 exons.